RNAcentral lists this ribosomal RNA (762 nucleotides) under Triticum aestivum (bread wheat). RNAcentral's name for it is "partial small subunit ribosomal RNA". Lineage: Eukaryota; Viridiplantae; Streptophyta; Magnoliopsida; Poales; Poaceae. The record is from RNAcentral.
AUGACUUCAGAACCAGAGACACCGCGAAUAACCGAGCUCCAUGUAAGGAUGGACUGCAACGGGUGCGUGCACAAGAUCAGGAAGACCCUGAGCGGCAUUGACGGUGUAGGUGAGGUACAUGUUGAUCAACCUAACCACAAGAUCACGGUGGUGGGGAUCGCUGAUCCUGCGAAGAUCGUCAAGGCCAUCAGGAAGACCAAUAGGGUUCCCACCAUCUGCUCACACACCGACCCUGCAGCUCCGGCGCCACCCGCGGAAGGGGGAGAAGCCCCGGCUGCAGCUCCGGCGCCAUCCGCGGGAGGGGGAGAAGCCCCGCCUGCAGCUCCGGCGCCACCCGCGGAAGGGGAAGCCCCGGCUGCUGAUGCGCCUCCGCCUCCGCCUCCGCCUCCGCCUGCAGAAGAGGCACCAGCAGAACCCACCGCGGCAGAGAACAAAGAGGCGCCGCCGGCUGAAACGCCAGCCACCGCCAUGAUAUACAUGGUGCAUGACUGCCCAUACAGCCACCAUGCGUACAAAGGUCACUGGGCAGUCCAUCCGAGCAACAUCCAUGGCGUCAGAUAUGAAUAUGAUGCUGCCGCACCAUAUUACGCAGCACAUAGUCGUAGCUAUAGUCCUUGCACAUCAGAGUACGGACAUGGGGGCUCUUCUGCCCAAGAAGGAAGAUGCUACUACCAUCCAGCGGCUGCUAGGGGAAGAGGAGAUGGGAGCCAGAUCACUUCGAUGUUCAGCGAGGAGAAUCCCAACGCAUGCAGCAUAGCAUAA